GAUGAACGCUGGCGGCGUGCCUAAUACAUGCAAGUCGAGCGGACAGACGAGGAGCUUGCUCCUUUGAUGUUAGCGGCGGACGGGUGAGUAACACGUAGGUAACCUACCUAUAAGACUGGGAUAACUUCGGGAAACCGGAGCUAAUACCGGAUAAUAUUUCGAACCGCAUGGUUCGAUAGUGAAAGAUGGCUUUGCUAUCACUUAUAGAUGGACCUGCGCCGUAUUAGCUAGUUGGUAAGGUAACGGCUUACCAAGGCAACGAUACGUAGCCGACCUGAGAGGGUGAUCGGCCACACUGGAACUGAGACACGGUCCAGACUCCUACGGGAGGCAGCAGUAGGGAAUCUUCCGCAAUGGGCGAAAGCCUGACGGAGCAACGCCGCGUGAGUGAUGAAGGUCUUCGGAUCGUAAAACUCUGUUAUUAGGGAAGACAAACGUGUAAGUAACUGUGCACGUCUUGACGGUACCUAAUCAGAAAGCCACGGCUAACUACGUGCCAGC
Molecule: ribosomal RNA, 501 nt
Filed under: uncultured bacterium
Lineage: Bacteria
Description: bacterial SSU rRNA
Rfam family: Bacterial small subunit ribosomal RNA
Source: RNAcentral